RNAcentral lists this ribosomal RNA (286 nucleotides) under Escherichia sp. July_TSA2A8. Its description in RNAcentral is "partial 16S ribosomal RNA". It matches the Rfam family "Bacterial small subunit ribosomal RNA", at positions 1086 to 1372 of the family's 1533-position model. The record is from RNAcentral. Lineage: Bacteria; Pseudomonadati; Pseudomonadota; Gammaproteobacteria; Enterobacterales; Enterobacteriaceae.
CCCGCAACGAGCGCAACCCUUAUCCUUUGUUGCCAGCGGUUCGGCCGGGAACUCAAAGGAGACUGCCAGUGAUAAACUGGAGGAAGGUGGGGAUGACGUCAAGUCAUCAUGGCCCUUACGACCAGGGCUACACACGUGCUACAAUGGCGCAUACAAAGAGAAGCAAUCUCGCGAGAGCUAGCGGACCUCAUAAAGUGCGUCGUAGUCCGGAUUGGAGUCUGCAACUCGACUCCAUGAAGUCGGAAUCGCUAGUAAUCGUGAAUCAGAAUGUCACGGUGAAUACGUU